Molecule: ribosomal RNA, 253 nt
Filed under: uncultured bacterium
Lineage: Bacteria
Description: partial 16S ribosomal RNA
Rfam family: Bacterial small subunit ribosomal RNA
Source: RNAcentral
UACGAAGGGGGCUAGCGUUGCUCGGAAUUACUGGGCGUAAAGGGCGCGUAGGCGGAUAGUUUAGUCAGAGGUGAAAUCCCAGGGCUCAACCUUGGAACUGCCUUUGAAACUGCGGGUCUUGAGUUCGAGAGAGGUGAGUGGAAUUCCGAGUGUAGAGGUGAAAUUCGUAGAUAUUCGGAGGAACACCAGUGGCGAAGGCGGCUCACUGGCUCGAUACUGACGCUGAGGUGCGAAAGCGUGGGUAGCAAACAGG